GAUGAACGCUGGCGGCGUGCCUAAUACAUGCAAGUCGAGCGAACAGACGAGGAGCUUGCUCCUCUGACGUUAGCGGCGGACGGGUGAGUAACACGUGGAUAGCCUACCUAUAAGACUGGGAUAACUUCGGGAAACCGGAGCUAAUACCGGAUAAUAUAUUGAACCGCAUGGUUCAAUAGUGAAAGACGGUUUUGCUGUCACUUAUAGAUGGAUCCGCGCCGCAUUAGCUAGUUGGUAAGGUAACGGCUUACCAAGGCAACGAUGCGUAGCCGACCUGAGAGGGUGAUCGGCCACACUGGAACUGAGACACGGUCCAGACUCCUACGGGAGGCAGCAGUAGGGAAUCUUCCGCAGUGGGCGAAAGCUUGACGGAGCAACGCCGCGUGAGUGAUGAAGGUCUUCGGAUCGUAAAACUCUGUUAUUAGGGAAGAACAAAUGUGUAAGUAACUAUGCACGUCUUGACGGUACCUAAUCAGAAAGCCACGGCUAACUACGUG
This 497-nucleotide ribosomal RNA is filed under the name uncultured bacterium. RNAcentral's name for it is "partial 16S ribosomal RNA". It matches the Rfam family "Bacterial small subunit ribosomal RNA", at positions 28 to 507 of the family's 1533-position model. The record is from RNAcentral.